RNAcentral lists this ribosomal RNA (433 nucleotides) under Mikrocytid ex Cancer pagurus HH-2014. RNAcentral's name for it is "SSU rRNA". It matches the Rfam family "Eukaryotic small subunit ribosomal RNA", at positions 990 to 1472 of the family's 1831-position model. Lineage: Eukaryota; Endomyxa; Ascetosporea; Mikrocytida; Mikrocytiidae. RNAcentral also lists the same sequence under 1 other name. The record is from RNAcentral.
UUGGGGUAUCGAUAACGAUUAGAACCGUUGUAGUCCCAACCACAAACUUUGCUGACUGGUUGUUUGGCGUUCUUGUGUUCUUCGGGACGAGAGGGAACGCUGGGUGGCCUAAGCGAAAGCAUAGUCUUCGAGUUUCGUGGAGAGUAUGUACGCAAGUAUUAAAUUUAAAGGAAUUGACGGAAUGCCAUACAGGGACUGGAGCAUGCGGCUCAAUUUGAUUCAACACGGGACAACUUACCAGAGCCACGGCAGGGAGGAGACACCGGUUGCAGAGCGGUGUCGAUUCUGCCAGGGGUUGUGCAUGGCCACCCUAAGCCGGUGGGGUGACCUUUUGGUUAAUUCCGCGAACCGGCGAGACCCGAGUCUGUGGUUGUCACGGAGACUGCGCAGGCAACUGCGAGGAAGGGAGGUCAAAGGUAGGUCCGUGAUGCAA